UGCAUCGCGCACACGCACGCACGCCACACAGUACGUAUCUCCAGUUUGAGCUUUCACUGUAGAAAGUUAACGCGGCUCGAGUUGGCGCACAGCGACGACGAUUCCACGCCGACAACGAGAACGAUCGGGUUUUCGUACCGAUGAAUUAUCCAAUUCAAGGACAACCCCGGAAGCCUUUCUCCGUUUUCGCCACGGCAAAGCAGCGGCGUCUGCUCCCCCCGAUCGCAAUCGCUCGCAGCCGGUUUUUCGUGACGAAAGUAGAGAAAAAUUUGCGAUCCACGAGUGGUAUCGGUAACGAGGAAAGGAAAGGAAGGAGAAGGAAGGAAGUGAGGAAGGACGACCACCUCGUGGCGGACUAUUUCUCUGCUCGCCUGACAUCCACAUCCUGGAUUUACGCUCGAGUUAUCGCGUUUUUCCCCCGCAACGUACAUCGACGCAUCGGACAGUCGCAGGAGCCGUUAAUGCAUCGGCGCAAAACAAUAUAUGUUUAUAUUCAGGAUAGUCAAGUAGUUCCAGCAUCUACUUGACCGAAGCUUAGAUGGACUGGAGCGAUCGUGAGCGCCACUCGGCCUUAUUCAGCAUAUUUGGUGGCGUGGAAACUGCGUACAUGUCCGUGGACACCGUGGAUCAGGUGUGCACGCACUCGCGGCAGGUGUAAGUCGAAGAAGGAGGCCGUAGGCUGCAUUCGCGGUAGGCUAAUCCGGAUGGAAAUCCCGAAUUUGAUGGGAAAGUGCAUGUGCAUGCUGUUCGAGAAAUCCAUGUUUAUGGGAUAUCUUUCAUCGCGUUGUUGCAAAUAACGUGGGCAAGUUGAGCGAGUAGGCCAGCAAAACGAGGACAUCGAGGAAGGAGCAACCGUACGAACACCGGGGUGGACCAAUUAAUGUUUAAUAACUGGGAAAUCCAUGCCACACCAAUUACAUGUCGAUGAUGAGAGAUGGAGCUCGAAUUUAUUCUCUCGCGGUUCUCAAGAGUUCCGUGCACUUUUAUAGCCUUUCUUCGUGUAUAUGCCUACAAGUAUAUACUCGCACAGUUGUUUAAAACUGUGAGAGAAGAGCACGCGCUGGUAGAUGCGAGAAAUGCACGAAAGGUGCACUUACAACGUCUAAUAAAGCAACCCACAAAUACCAUAUAUCGUGCGAUUCAUGAUCACUCGACGGAGAGCCUAUCGAGACUGUUGAUAUUGAGAUGUACGAUUGAAACUCCAACGAGAGAGCUAUUACACAACGUGCCAAGUACGCUUAACGAUAAAUCUACUGUUUUACACUUUCGCAACGUGCCAUUGAAAAGCUACAGAAAAACAUGAUUUUUUCACACUUUAGCGCGUAUUGUUAGUCGAGAAGAUGAACUGAACAUUUAUUCAGAAGCUAACGAAAGUCGCGAAAACGAUACUUUUUUCAAUGACAAUUAUCUCGCAUCCGGAUAUGGCGCAUCAAUCGAAGAUGUUUUUCAAUUCUAGCCUUUUAUAAACGUAAAAAAACGAGGAUAAAUGUGUGACACGAAGCAGUCCACUACUGAACAAUUGAAUCGCAGUCGAAGAAAUAAAACAAUGACAAAAUCUUCAAUGAUCGUAUUACGAAAAGAAAUUUUUUGCCCUGCCUUAAAAUAAGAGUUUUAGAAUUAUCGAACGACGAUGAUUUUGUGAAAUGUCAAUAGCGCGUGAGGCUUUUUAGCCUGUGGCUACAAAACACGAUAAUAAAUUAAGUCGCUAUCAUA
Molecule: unclassified non-coding RNA, 1713 nt
Filed under: Venturia canescens
Lineage: Eukaryota; Metazoa; Arthropoda; Insecta; Hymenoptera; Ichneumonidae
Description: uncharacterized LOC122405913, transcript variant X1
Source: RNAcentral